GAUGAACGCUGGCGGCGUGCCUAAUACAUGCAAGUCGAGCGAACAGACGAGGAGCUUGCUCCUAUGACGUUAGCGGCGGACGGGUGAGUAACACGUGGAUAACCUACCUAUUAGACUGGGAUAACUUCGGGAAACCGGAGCUAAUACCGGAUAACAUGUUGAACCGCAUGGUUCAACAGUGAAAGACGGUCUUGCUUUUAAUUAUAGAUGGAUCCGCGCCGGAUUAGCUAGUUGGUAAGGUAAAGGCUUACCAAGGCAACGAUGCGUAGCCGAACUGAGGGGGUGAUCGGCCACACGGAAACAGAGACACCGUCCAGACCCCUACGAGAGACAGCAGUAGGGAAUCUUGCGCAAGAGGCGAAUGCCUGACGGAGCAACGCCGCGAGUGAUAAGAAGGUCUGCGGAGCGUAGAACUCUUUUAUGAGGAAAGACCAAAUGUGUAAAUAUCUAUGCACGUCUUGACGGUACCUAAUCAGAAAGCCACGGCUAACUACGUG
This 497-nucleotide ribosomal RNA is filed under the name uncultured bacterium. RNAcentral's name for it is "partial 16S ribosomal RNA". It matches the Rfam family "Bacterial small subunit ribosomal RNA", at positions 28 to 507 of the family's 1533-position model. The record is from RNAcentral.